GAUGAACGCUGGCGGCGUGCCUAAUACAUGCAAGUCGAGCGAACAGACGAGGAGCUUGCUCCUCUGACGUUAGCGGCGGACGGGUGAGUAACACGUGGAUAACCUACCUAUAAGACUGGGAUAACUUCGGGAAACCGGAGCUAAUACCGGAUAAUAUAUUGAACCGCAUGGUUCAAUAGUGAAAGACGGUUUUGCUGUCACUUAUAGAUGGAUCCGCGCCGCAUUAGCUAGUUGGUAAGGUAACGGCUUACCAAGGCAACGAUGCGUAGCCGACCUGAGAGGGUGAUCGGCCACACUGGAACUGAGACACGGUCCAGACUCCUACGGGAGGCAGCAGUAGGGAAUCUUCCGCAAAGGGCGAAAGCCUGACGGAGCAACGCCGCGUGAGUGAUGAAGGUCUUCGGAUCGUAAAACUCUGUUAUUAGGGAAGAACAAAUGUGUAAGUAACUAUGCACGUCUUGACGGUACCUAAGCAGAAAGCCACGGCUAACUACGU
This 496-nucleotide ribosomal RNA is filed under the name uncultured bacterium. Its description in RNAcentral is "partial 16S ribosomal RNA". It matches the Rfam family "Bacterial small subunit ribosomal RNA", at positions 28 to 506 of the family's 1533-position model. The record is from RNAcentral.